CCUCUGUGCACUCGGUUUCUGACAUGCCCAGUCUAACUUCAGCGUCUUAGACACAGCGAUGGAAGGGCAGACUAGGAGCAUAGGAGGAAAAGAAGAGGAAUUCAGCCAAAUUUUAGCUGCUGUGUUUCCUGCUUGAACAAAACACAUUUAUUGAAAAACUACAGGGAAAAAACUGCAGAAAAGGGCAGUUGUGGAAACAAAAUUUCUUCACUGAAAAAUCUAAGAAGUCAUUUUGUCUCCGGAAGACUCAGUUCCAAAUAAGAAAAGGUACAUGGAGUAGAUUAUCACCAUUAAUGCAGCAACUGUAGCUGGGUGCAAUUCCAUAACAAAGUAAUAAUUUCAGAUAAAUGAAUAUAAUUCUCCCAAAGGAAGCAGAAGGAUAAAGUAAAAUUAGAUACUUCUAAAGGAAAUUUAUUAUUUUAUUGUGCCUCUUUUUUCAAAGUUUUUGCU
This 450-nucleotide long non-coding RNA is filed under the name Apteryx owenii (little spotted kiwi). RNAcentral's name for it is "lncRNA (ENSAOWG00000012336.1)". Lineage: Eukaryota; Metazoa; Chordata; Aves; Apterygiformes; Apterygidae. The record is from RNAcentral.